RNAcentral lists this ribosomal RNA (253 nucleotides) under uncultured bacterium. RNAcentral describes it as "partial 16S ribosomal RNA". It matches the Rfam family "Bacterial small subunit ribosomal RNA", at positions 524 to 776 of the family's 1533-position model. The record is from RNAcentral.
UACAGAGGUCUCAAGCGUUGUUCGGAAUCACUGGGCGUAAAGGGAGCGUAGGCUGUCGUGCAAGUCGGGUGUGAAAUACCGGGGCUCAACUCCGGAACUGCACCCGAUACUGCAUGACUUGAGCAACAGAGGGGAAACCGGAAUUCUCGGUGUAGCAGUGAAAUGCGUAGAUAUCGAGAAGAACACUCGUGGCGAAGGCGGGUUUCUGGAUGUAUGCUGACGCUGAGGCUCGAAGGCCAGGGGAGCGAAAGGG